AUUGAACGCUGGCGGCAUGCCUUACACAUGCAAGUCGAACGGUAACGGGCCUUCGGGUGCCGACGAGUGGCGAACGGGUGAGUAAUGCAUCGGAACGUACCUUUCAGUGGGGGAUAACGUAGCGAAAGUUACGCUAAUACCGCAUAUUCUGUGAGCAGGAAAGCAGGGGAUCGCAAGACCUUGCGCUGAUUGAGCGGCCGAUGUCAGAUUAGCUAGUUGGUGAGGUAAAGGCUCACCAAGGCGACGAUCUGUAGCGGGUCUGAGAGGAUGAUCCGCCACACUGGGACUGAGACACGGCCCAGACUCCUACGGGAGGCAGCAGUGGGGAAUUUUGGACAAUGGGGGCAACCCUGAUCCAGCCAUGCCGCGUGAGUGAAGAAGGCCUUCGGGUUGUAAGCUCUUUCGGCUGGGAAGAAAUCGCAUCUCCUAAUACGGGGUGUGGAUGACGGUACCAGCAUAAGAAGCACCGGCUAACUACGUGCC
Molecule: ribosomal RNA, 483 nt
Filed under: uncultured bacterium
Lineage: Bacteria
Description: bacterial SSU rRNA
Rfam family: Bacterial small subunit ribosomal RNA
Source: RNAcentral